This 66-nucleotide microRNA precursor is filed under the name Dasypus novemcinctus (nine-banded armadillo). RNAcentral's name for it is "miRNA (ENSDNOG00000030385.1)". Lineage: Eukaryota; Metazoa; Chordata; Mammalia; Cingulata; Dasypodidae. The record is from RNAcentral.
GGGUGACCACCUGUCCCGGUUUGCCUGGGACUGAGGAGUUUCCCAAGACAUGGGAUUUUGAGUGCU